RNA transcript from Hevea brasiliensis (rubber tree), 1813 nucleotides. RefSeq lists it as uncharacterized. The transcript has 5 exons. The record is from RefSeq and is a predicted model, not a curated record. NCBI's taxonomy places the organism in Eukaryota, Viridiplantae, Streptophyta, Magnoliopsida, Malpighiales, Euphorbiaceae.
AAUAUUGACGUGGGUCAAAUAGAAAUAUGAACUUUCUCAGUUUCUCUCACUCCUCCUUAAACUCAAGCGCACUGCUCGCCAUUCUCAUAUUGUUGUUCUUCUUUUUCUUUCUUAUCAGUGGGUCUCUCUGGAACCCGCAUGCCCAGAGCUUGCAGCUUGUAAGGUCCGAUGGGUUCGUCUACCAGAAUUGGCUUGGUGACGCUGACUCCAUCCGUAUUGAACCCUUCUAUGAUCCUGUAUGCCCCAAUAACAGAGAUUCUUGGCCUCCUCCCUUUACUAGAUGGGGAAUUGAUGCGUCAUAGCAAGGGAGUAAUUUGGAUUAAGCGGGAAAAUGGAAGUAUGAGCAUCGCAAUUGGGUUGCUUUUGUUGAAGACAUUGUGUCCCUGAUUAUGAUUAGUUUUGAAUAUACCAUGACAAUGCGUUUGUCGCUUCUUUUGCUCUGCAUAUUGCAAAUCUGGUGAGCACUUAUUCUACAAUUCCCCUUGUUAGAGCAGUUCUAUGAGCAUCAGUUUUGAUGGGCCCACCUUUAAUUGAGCAAUCUUAGAGAGACAAGUGGAAGUGGUCUUACCUCCCUAUUGACAACUUGACUUACCGCCCUGCAAGAAAUGGAAAGUGUGAAUUCAACAUGUUUUGUAUUAGGUAGCUCAUUACCAUGAAAGCUAUGGUGGCUUCAGCUGCGUGCACUUUAAAUCUGGAAGUGGUGGAAUUGUUCUUGGGAAUCACUUACCCUGCCAUUUGUGCAGCAGCUCAAUAUUAUUAAUAUACAUCCUUUUUUCAGUUGCUAGACAAAAUAACAUCCAGUUUCAGCAGGCUGUUUAUGAGAAAAUUCUCCUCCAGUAUCUUUUAUGUCUCCCCUAGAAGCUUCCUUGCCAAACACUACCACAUUAAAGACCAAGAUGUCUUGUGCUAAAAUUGGCUUUUCAUUCCUAGAAAAAAAACUCAAAUCUUUGUUAGGCUGGAUGUUAAUUGUUGAUUAAGUUCACAAAAUCCAUCAGCAGCUGAAAAGAAUAUGGAGCUACCCGUUAGUUUUAAUUACACGAAUUUAGUUGUGUUUCUAGUUUUUACAGCAAUUUGAGUUUGCUAUGUUGACUAACUUCUUGUACUUGUAUGUGCUAAUAUCAGGAGAGGUUCUAUAAUGCUGAAAGAAACAACUGUUCAAGAGCUUAUGUUGAAAAAGAAAUCGUGAAAUUUGCCACUGUAACAGUUGGGAACUCUUAUUGUUCUGCAAUUGAAUCUAGCUUUAAUGACAGAAAAACUGAUCUUAAAACAAGAGUUUCUUUCUAGUAUAGUGUUUCAAGAGGAGUAUUUGGCACACGCCUAAUUUCUAUAUCAAUGGAUUUGCAUUGCCUGAUUCUGGCUCCACCAUAGAUUAUACUGGCUGGAGAAGUAUCAUCGAUCCACUGAUUAAAGCAAAGAGGGGCAAAAGUGGGGAUCCUCUGCAUUUAUUACUGUGAAGAUCUUAGCUUGCAAGAUCUCAAUUUGUUUGCAAUUUGCAAUUUGCAAUAUAUAUCAUCAGAAGCGUAUACUAUUGGUGAUGAAUUUGUGAUAAUGCGAUAAAACGUUUUCAGUAAUUUUUGCCAACUGUUGACUUCCAACCAAGUGGAUUCAGGUACACUGGGACGCCGAGUAGAAGAAUGGGUUAGGUUGACUAACCUAAGCCGUUGUUUAUAGCAAACCAACGAAUCUUCCUGCCAGUUUUAACUUAUUGUAAAACACAUUCUCUUCUUUUCUUCCCUGAGUUCACUCUGUAUAAGGCUAGCGAUGUUCAUGUAACAUUGGGCUUUGCUAAUUAGAAUCUCCAUUUUAUCAAGAA